GACGAACGCUGGCGGCGUGCCUAAUACAUGCAAGUAGAACGCUGAAGAGAGGAGCUUGCUCUUCUUGGAUGAGUUGCGAACGGGUGAGUAACGCGUAGGUAACCUGCCUUGUAGCGGGGGAUAACUAUUGGAAACGAUAGCUAAUACCGCAUAACAAUGGAUGACACAUGUCAUUUAUUUGAAAGGGGCAAUUGCUCCACUACAAGAUGGACCUGCGUUGUAUUAGCUAGUAGGUGAGGUAAUGGCUCACCUAGGCGACGAUACAUAGCCGACCUGAGAGGGUGAUCGGCCACACUGGGACUGAGACACGGCCCAGACUCCUACGGGAGGCAGCAGUAGGGAAUCUUCGGCAAUGGGGGCAACCCUGACCGAGCAACGCCGCGUGAGUGAAGAAGGUUUUCGGAUCGUAAAGCUCUGUUGUAAGUCAAGAACGGGUGUGAGAGUGGAAAGUUCACACUGUGACGGUAGCUUACCAGAAAGGGACGGCUACUACGUG
Molecule: ribosomal RNA, 496 nt
Filed under: uncultured bacterium
Lineage: Bacteria
Description: partial 16S ribosomal RNA
Rfam family: Bacterial small subunit ribosomal RNA
Source: RNAcentral